CAGACAUCUGUUAGUUUUUGUCUGUGUGUCUUGGGUUUCUGUUUUGUCUUAUUGUGAUUUUGACGAUGGGACCGACAGUAACCACCCCCCUCAAUCUGACUUUUGACCACUGGAGGGAUGUUAAGGACCAUAUUUCUGUGAAGUCUGGAGGAUCGGAACAGGCUGUGUGACUGGCUAGUUAAGCAGGUUUGUUAUCUGAUCUGUUGCAAUCCACACCCUGCCCGCCUGCUUUUCGGUGCUAUGUCAGUUUUGUAUUUUCAUGUCUGCUGUUUUUGUUAAUUGUGUAAAUGUAAAGGUCCUAUGUUGGGUUCACUAGCGAAGUCUUUUCUUGCUGCCCUGAGCACAUGGCGUGUGGAACAGGAGUUCCUCUGCCAUGUGCCAUGGAUUAGAAUGUGCUGCGGUGGAGUCCUCUGUCUCCCAGCACAUGGUAAGGCUGCUGCUCUGGACUCCAACCACUGCUGCGGCCCUCACAGCUGAGCCUGGCCGGUGCAGUUUAUAAGAUCAGACAGACUGCCAGAUCCUGACAGUGAACCAAAGUCUCCAAAGAAGAUUAUGAGGCACCCCAGUUCCUGCACCUGGAUAAUGAUGACGCCAACCAGUGAGCAAGAUGCUCAAAUGUGACACCUACUGCCUGCCAGGACCUGGCCAAGAAUGUGGACAAAGCUGCUGGACACUGGAAAAUUAAUUGCACCCCCUUUGCCUAGACAAAACAAGACACAUCUAAGUAUCAGUUGCUGAAUACAGGCUGUUCCUAAAGAACUUCGAGCCCUGGACUUGCUGUGGAUGUGAACCAGUCCAGCUGAUGUGGACACCUCCGUCUCUGCAACAGAGUCUGCCAACCAGAAGCUCCUGAUGGAUUCCCCAUUACCUAAAUUCCCUUUUUGCUUUUGACUAGCAUUUCAGCCUUCUUGGGUCCCUAACUUCGUCCCAAAGUCAGCAGAAGUAGCAUGGGAAUGAAUACAUCGCCUGUUUUCCAUGGUUGAUAUGCUAAGUCAGAAGGAACUCCCUUACAUAGGGGAUGCCAAUAUCUCUCACUCCCUGAUGGGGACGCUGGAGAGACAGCAAUUCCAUGAUUGCAAUCUCCAAAAAGAAAAUGGGGGAAGGAAGGGACCAGCUCCCCAUUUCAGCAGCCAUAACAGCCUAGAACGUGCUUGCCUGACCUUGCCUUGGUCCCUAGAAGGUCAGAUGCCUGCCUCGUGGCAAGGAAUCAAUCAGAAGUUAGCUGGUGGCGCUAUGCUUUACGGCUUUGGGUGUGCUUUACAGACAAGUGCACAGCAAUGACUUGCAGACCAUAGCAACCAUCCUGGGAGGGUCUAUGGGCCAUAACAACCAGUUGAUCAAUCAACACAGGGCAAGCCCUCCAAGCCUGGAGGCACACCAAUAGUGAGCCUGUGCGUACCCCUAGACACUCCCCUUACGCUGCCCUAUAAGAUCUCUAUGCUGUGGCUUCACAGCAUCUUUCCCAGCUGUCUGCCAUGGUGGAUAGAUGAAAGGCCCAAGCUAACAUGGGGUUAGCUUGUUAAACAAAUGCA
RNAcentral lists this long non-coding RNA (1532 nucleotides) under Cricetulus griseus (Chinese hamster). RNAcentral's name for it is "lncRNA (ENSCGRG00015042301.1)". Lineage: Eukaryota; Metazoa; Chordata; Mammalia; Rodentia; Cricetidae. The record is from RNAcentral.